UGCAGUGUUGUUGUGGCUGUGAGAAGGCGGCGGCGGAGUAGCAGCAGCCGGACCAGACUCCCUAGUAGCUCAGGCGCUGCACUGCGCCGGCCCUGGCAGGGAGCCUGAUCCUUCACUGAAUUCAACCCAGUCUACUCAACAGUUCACCAAGAGUCUUGCUAUCUCCAAUUUCAGGAUAUGCUUUCCAUCACCAAUACCCAGUCAGCUUUCAAAAGUCAGACUACAACUGAAUCAAAGAAUUACACAAGAAAAGGGAAACUGAGUCAUCCUUCAGCAACUCCAGGAACAAAUCAAGGUGCAGUGUCUCACGCCUGUAAUCCUAG
This 323-nucleotide long non-coding RNA is filed under the name Homo sapiens (human). RNAcentral describes it as "HSALNT0393185". Lineage: Eukaryota; Metazoa; Chordata; Mammalia; Primates; Hominidae. The record is from RNAcentral.